This is a non-coding RNA of Sphaerobolus stellatus SS14, 103 nucleotides long. Lineage: Eukaryota; Fungi; Basidiomycota; Agaricomycetes; Geastrales; Sphaerobolaceae. The record is from the annotation of a GenBank genome assembly.
UCUUAUGUAGUAUAGUGGUUAGUAUUCACGUCCGCCAGACUAAGGGUUUAAGUCGAAGUUCAAGCGUGUGCGAGAAACCGGGGUUCAAAUCCUCGCCUGAGAG